Molecule: ribosomal RNA, 253 nt
Filed under: uncultured bacterium
Lineage: Bacteria
Description: partial 16S ribosomal RNA
Rfam family: Bacterial small subunit ribosomal RNA
Source: RNAcentral
GACAGAGGUGCCGAGCGUUAGGCGGAAUCACUGGGCUUAAAGCGUGUGUAGGCGGGUGCCUAAGUACCUUGUGAAAUCCCACGGCUCAACCGUGGAACUGCUUGGUAUACUGGGUAUCUUGAGCCACUUAGGGGCAACCGGAACAAACGGUGGAGCGGUGAAAUGCGUAGAUAUCGGGAGGAACACCGGUGGUGUAGACGGCUCUCUGGGCCGAUACUGACGCUGAGGAGCGAAAGCGUGGGGAGCGAACAGG